This 1716-nucleotide long non-coding RNA is filed under the name Homo sapiens (human). Its description in RNAcentral is "non-protein coding LINC02246:23". Lineage: Eukaryota; Metazoa; Chordata; Mammalia; Primates; Hominidae. The record is from RNAcentral.
ACUCCUGCCCCUGCCACGAGAACACACCCUUUCCAGUUUGCUGGAGAAAUAUAAGAGAAGUCCAGUGAAAGAGAGCUGAGUUUCCCCAAUGAUGCCAUCAAGAUGAACUAACUACAGUUAACCAGCCAGCUGAUAGCAGAUGCAUGAGUGAGCCCAGCUGAGAGCAGGUGAAACUGAAAUUGGCUGUAUCAUCUGAAACUUCAUCUGUGAAGUCCCUGGUGGUUUCCUAGAUGACUACACAGUUGAGUUGCCUCUGAUUGGAAAAGCAGUGUUUUGGUUUUUCAGUUUGUACAAGAGGAAGAAGACGCAUGAUAUGUGUUUGGCUCAUGUGCCUGAAUAUGGCUCCACAGGGAAGACUUGAUACAGCUGAAGCUAUUGCUUUUUAGAGACUUUUUAUUUUGAGCAGCUGCCUUAACAGCCUUCGUCUUGUUACAUCACAUGAGAUAUAUCUCUGGAAUAGGAAGAGAAAAAAGACAUGACUGAGCAAUAAUUUUUGACUAAAACUUAAAAUUACAAAACCAAAACCAGAGAUAGAUGUCCCUGAAGUUGUAUUUUUAUAGUAUGUGAGAACACAAUUUUCUUAUCCUAGUUUUAAGGCAUUCCUCUGGACCCAGGAUUUUUGUUUAGUUUCAUUCACAUAAUCAAACUCUUUUUUUUUUUUUUGCCAUAGACUAAUGCAUUUUGGUGUAAUGAUCUGAGCCCUUAUCCAGAAGGCAUCUAAGACUCAUGUACAAAAAUAGAUUUCAGGGCUAAACAUUCUAAAAGACAAUUGAGUGCUUCUUUUUUCUCCGGCCCCUAGAUGUAAAUGAAUAACCUCUGUUCACUAACUCUUAAUGUAAUAUAAGGGAUAAAUUAUGCUUGUUUAUUUAAUUGUGCUUAACCAGAGUACUAGGUUGGAGUCAAACCACAGAUAUAUUUGUGAGAUGUGACAAAAUGUAGCUUUUAGCCCGUAAUACCCAAGUCAUCUGGGAACAUAACUGAUGACAGUGUCAACACCUUUCAGGAAUUCUGGAGGUGCCUUUGAGUUUAGAAAUUCGUAGGUUCUCUAGAAGCAACAGUAGCAUACUAAAUUAACACAUAACAUUUCAAGCUACAUUUACAUAAUUGCAGUGGUUAUGAUUAAUACAAAUUAUAUUAACUGCCUGUUUUACUCCUUAUAGCUGAUUGGCUGAAUUUACCAGUGGGUUUGGUAUGUUCAACAAAUGAUCCAAAUUACCUUUUCAUUUCAGUUAAGAAACUAAUCAAAGCAAAUACACUUUGAUUUGUUGAGAGGCAGAGAUUCUCCCUAAGUGGCAAUGUCCUUGGCCUUCUAAGCUAAAACCUAAAUGGAACUAUAAUAUAUAUUUUGAUGCUUUAUCUCACUUGAGUUUUUUAUUCUUUAACUGAAGGGCAGCCAUGGACCAUAAAUACAUAGAAGAUAAAAAUAUAUUGAGCUUAGGAGUUUGGUCUGUUCAAUGGAUGAGAACUUUAUAUUUUCCCUUAUAAACACAAUUUUCAAAGAAUAGCCUGUAAUAGUCGUGAAAAUGGAAACCAAUACUGGGGAAAUGUGGACUGCAACUCUGAAAAGGUAUCAAAAUGCCCGAUAGUUCAACACAAGGGCUAAGCAAUAUUUCAGGGAUGUGGCCUGUCUUUGGUGGCUCGGUCACUCUAGUGAGAUGAAUUUGGAAAAGGAUAGGCAUACAGAAUCCCCCCUCUGGCAGGGUUUGCCUUUGGGGU